AGCCCUCCGUAUCCGUGCUGAGAUUUCAUCAGAAAUCAAUCCGACGGCACUGUCUGAUGCAACUUCACAAAUAAGUGAAGUG
RNAcentral lists this microRNA precursor (82 nucleotides) under Trichobilharzia regenti. Its description in RNAcentral is "mir-3492 microRNA precursor family". It matches the Rfam family "mir-3492 microRNA precursor family". The record is from Rfam by way of RNAcentral. Lineage: Eukaryota; Metazoa; Platyhelminthes; Trematoda; Strigeidida; Schistosomatidae.